AGUAAGAAGAGGAGAUGUCUCUGGUGGGACUUUUGCUCUGGUGGGACUACUUUUCUAGUAGUGGCUCAGAAACGAUGCCUUAGAUGAUGACUUGAAAACUUGUGACAACUCUGCACAACUUCAGGGGUCUGAAACUGGAUUGAAAAUGGGUUAGAAACCAGAAGGAUUAACCACAAAUGUUUAUGUACUAUCACAACAGAAGGACCCUGGAGAUUUGCUAUACAGUAAAACCUUGGAUUGCAAGUAA
Molecule: long non-coding RNA, 247 nt
Organism: Suricata suricatta (meerkat)
Lineage: Eukaryota; Metazoa; Chordata; Mammalia; Carnivora; Herpestidae
Exons: 2
Source: RefSeq, a predicted model, not a curated record